Molecule: long non-coding RNA, 618 nt
Organism: Scylla paramamosain (green mud crab)
Lineage: Eukaryota; Metazoa; Arthropoda; Malacostraca; Decapoda; Portunidae
Exons: 2
Source: RefSeq, a predicted model, not a curated record
AAAAAAGUAAAAUUCGUCGUUUGAUACCAUGGUCAGGAUUUAAAGACAUAUAAGUGAGGGCCACACAGGACCCAACACACAUUUCUACCCGGAGUCAACAAGCACACCACAAUGAAGAUUGCCGUCCUUGCCUUGAUCCUGAUGGCGGCCAUUAUGGCACUCCUUGUCCCCGCCAACGCUGAACCCGGGGGUUUCAAAGGUGGCUUUAGAGGAGGCCACGGAUUUGGAGGCGGCGGCUUCAGCAAAGGCUUCGGAGGUCAUAGAGGAGGUAUCGGGGGAUUCAGAGGCGGCUUCGGAGGCGGAUUCAGCAGAGGUGGUUUUGGUGGUAGAUUUAAGAAGGGCUAAUUUAUCCCUCCUUUUCUCCUCACGACUUCCUCCUCCCCUCCUUCCCUGCAAGUCUCUCCUUUACUCUCCACUCAACGUUUCCUUACUACGGAAGAUUUGCCUUUGCUCAGGAUAUUCUUCCAAUGAUGGGCGUUGGUGGUACUCUUGGUACGUGUGGCAUAAUUAGAUGAUAACAAUUAGCGUUCUCUCCAAAACUGUAACUCACCAGUAUAUGAGAAAACAAAAUUGUACGCAUUUUUACAAAUAUUUUCUCAAAUAAAUGAUAACAAUUUC